GGAAUAUUGGACAAUGGGCGCAAGCCUGAUCCAGCCAUGCCGCGUGAGUGAAGAAGGCCUUAGGGUUGUAAAUCUCUUUCGGCGGGGAAGAUAAUGACGGUACCCGGAGAAGCAGCCCCGGCUCACUCCGUGCCAGCAGCCGCGGUAAUACGGAGGGGGCUAGCGUUGUUCGGAAUUACUGGGCGUAAAGCGCGCGUAGGCGGAUUGUUAAGUCGGGGGUGAAAUCCCGGGGCUCAACCCCGGAACUGCCUCCGAUACUGGCAGUCUUGAGUCCGAGAGAGGUGAGUGGAAUUCCGAGUGUAGAGGUGAAAUUCGUAGAUAUUCGGAGGAACACCAGUGGCGAAGGCGGCUCACUGGCUCGGUACUGACGCUGAGGUGCGAAAGCGUGGGGAGCAAAC
RNAcentral lists this ribosomal RNA (398 nucleotides) under uncultured bacterium. RNAcentral's name for it is "bacterial SSU rRNA". It matches the Rfam family "Bacterial small subunit ribosomal RNA", at positions 358 to 773 of the family's 1533-position model. The record is from RNAcentral.